UUUAAAUAUUCGUUUUCGGAACAGAGUAGAAUCAGUGCUUCUCUCAAGAGAAUACGGCGAUCAUCCACCACGCGAAGAGAUGCCGAUGAUCUUUAUGAAGAUUUGUUUUUGGACUAAUCUUAAAAAAUAUUUGUGACCGCGCGCAAUGCGGUUAAUCAGAAUCAGUGUUUGCUUCGUCAUAGUAUUUUGAAUAUUUUUUAGAGCGCAACAGCUCUGAUUAAAUUUAAUUAAAAUAAUCAAACGCGAAGGUAGAAUCAGUGUUUGUUCGCCGAUUAUAAUUUAUACGGACGCGUUAUUAGUUUCUUAUUUUUUAUUUUUUUUUUAUUUUAAAUAUUCGUUUUCGGUACAGAGUAGAAUCAGUGCUUCUCUCAAGAGAAUACGGCGAUCAUCCAUCACGCGAAGAGAUUUCUUCCGUCUUGAUGACAACCUUCCCUUCUCGAUGACUUCUGGGCUACAAUAAGAGUGAAGCUGUUCGUCGCAUCAUGUGGUGAGUCGCAUGCUUUUUGGUUCCUCCGGUCACUCAAUCAUGUCGUAGGAUGAAAGAUCCGAAUCGACACGAGUGAUUGGUUGUAUACGUAGAAUUUUGCACGAGCACAAUGACCGCGGGUAUUUAUUUAUAAUAAUUACCCGCGAGUAGUAACAAUUAUUUUUGUGUUUUAUUUAUUAGUUCAGGCUAGGGUCUUCUUACGCUUCGCGUUUUUGAUUGAUAUAAAAUGUUUAGUAGUUUUCUAAUGUCAAAACAUGUAAUAAUUAUUAUUAUAUAAUUAUCAAUACAAUAUCAAUACAAUAAUUAGUUUGAAUUUUUAUAAUUCAAAAUCCUUUAGAGUAACAUUUUAAGUUAUUUGAUCAAUUUGAUUAUUGCGAUUGUCAUAUAAUUAUUUCACAUGAUUUUAUUAACUUCAAUAUGAUUUACAACACUGGUAGAUAAUAAAGUUCAAUUUUUAUUCGUACAAAUAUGAAUUAAAAAUUUUGCGCAAGAAGACAUUUCGCGACAGGCAGAUUUUAGAAUCAGAGCAAUAGAUUUUGAAUAUUAUUCUUGUGAUUUUGAAAAUAUGCUCUGAUGAAGGAAUCGCCUGAGAGUAUUUCUAUUCAUGUUUCUAUUAAAUACAAUUACAAUGAAUUCCAAUUUCUUUUUAAGUUCAAUAUUAAAAAUUUUAUAUACUAAAAUUUCAAUAACUUCAAUUAAUGUUCAAUUAAUGAAAUAAAAUAUAAAAUAG
Long non-coding RNA from Apis cerana (Asiatic honeybee), 1217 nucleotides. RefSeq lists it as uncharacterized. NCBI's taxonomy places the organism in Eukaryota, Metazoa, Arthropoda, Insecta, Hymenoptera, Apidae. The record is from RefSeq and is a predicted model, not a curated record.